Molecule: ribosomal RNA, 607 nt
Filed under: Bifidobacterium pseudolongum subsp. globosum
Lineage: Bacteria; Bacillati; Actinomycetota; Actinomycetes; Bifidobacteriales; Bifidobacteriaceae
Description: bacterial SSU rRNA
Rfam family: Bacterial small subunit ribosomal RNA
Source: RNAcentral
CGGCGUGCUUAACACAUGCAAGUCGAACGGGAUCCCUGGCAGCUUGCUGCCGGGGUGAGAGUGGCGAACGGGUGAGUAAUGCGUGACCGACCUGCCCCAUGCACCGGAAUAGCUCCUGGAAACGGGUGGUAAUGCCGGAUGUUCCACAUGAGCGCAUGCGAGUGUGGGAAAGGCUUUUUGCGGCAUGGGAUGGGGUCGCGUCCUAUCAGCUUGUUGGUGGGGUAACGGCCUACCAAGGCGUUGACGGGUAGCCGGCCUGAGAGGGCGACCGGCCACAUUGGGACUGAGAUACGGCCCAGACUCCUACGGGAGGCAGCAGUGGGGAAUAUUGCACAAUGGGCGCAAGCCUGAUGCAGCGACGCCGCGUGCGGGAUGGAGGCCUUCGGGUUGUAAACCGCUUUUGUUCAAGGGCAAGGCACGGUUUUUGGCCGUGUUGAGUGGAUUGUUCGAAUAAGCACCGGCUAACUACGUGCCAGCAGCCGCGGUAAUACGUAGGGUGCAAGCGUUAUCCGGAUUUAUUGGGCGUAAAGGGCUCGUAGGCGGUUCGUCGCGUCCGGUGUGAAAGUCCAUCGCUUAACGGUGGAUCCGCGCCGGGUACGGGCGGGCU